CCGUAGCUCAGUGGUUAGAGCAGGGGACUCAUAAUCCCUUGGUCGCAGGUUCAAAUCCUGCUGGGCCC
This 68-nucleotide transfer RNA is filed under the name marine eukaryotic metagenome. It matches the Rfam family "tRNA". Rfam says of the family: Transfer RNA (tRNA) molecules are approximately 80 nucleotides in length. Their secondary structure includes four short double-helical elements and three loops (D, anti-codon, and T loops). The record is from RNAcentral.